RNAcentral lists this ribosomal RNA (442 nucleotides) under uncultured bacterium. RNAcentral describes it as "bacterial SSU rRNA". It matches the Rfam family "Bacterial small subunit ribosomal RNA", at positions 32 to 507 of the family's 1533-position model. The record is from RNAcentral.
GGCUACGAGAACGACGCUGGCGGCAUGCCUAACACAUGCAAGUCGAACGAGACCGUUCGGGUCUAGUGGCGCACGGGUGCGUAACGCGUGGGAACCUGCCUUUAGGUUCGGAAUAACUCAGAGAAAUUUGAGCUAAUACCGGAUGAUGUCUUCGGACCAAAGAUUUAUCGCCUUUAGAUGGGCCCGCGUAAGAUUAGCUAGUUGGUGGGGUAAAGGCCUACCAAGGCGACGAUCUUUAGCUGGUCUGAGAGGAUGAUCAGCCACACUGGGACUGAGACACGGCCCAGACUCCUACGGGAGGCAGCAGUGGGGAAUAUUGGACAAUGGGCGAAAGCCUGAUCCAGCAAUGCCGCGUGAGUGAUGAAGGCCUUAGGGUUGUAAAGCUCUUUUACCCGAGAUGAUAAUGACAGUAUCGGGAGAAUAAGCUCCGGCUAACUCCGUG